CAGCGAUUCUCGCGAGAGUUUCUGUUUUUUGCAGAUCUCAGAUCAGAUUUCUAGGUUUUCGGCUCCUUUCUAGGCAAGAGCUCUCAACGGCUCCAAAGAGUAGAGAAACAAAGAGAUAUAACUACGGUUGAGCUUCUUGCAGAGCUCGGCCUUGUCUUGUGUUCCCAGGUAGGCGUUCCUCUUGAAGGCCCUCUCCAGGCUGCUGAUCUGCUCCGCCGUGAAGGCCGUACGAGGCCUCCUCCCAGACAGAGGCGACGCUGGCGAGGUGGAGGAGCAGUCGGCGGUCGCCGUGGGGGAGACGGAGCGACCACCUUCACUCUCGUACCCUGAGGUCUCCUCCUCCGUCCCGCUACUGAAACCUGCUUCAGUCACUGCAGAGAGGAACAAAGAAGACAUCAUGUUAGACUGAUGGAAGUAUUCCUUUAAGUACUCAAACCACAUAGUAAAAAUACUCCCUCAGUACAAGUAUGUCAGUAUAAUGCUGCUAAAAGUAUUAAAAUAUUGACUUGUGCUUUUAUAUAUUCAAUCAUUAGAUUAUUAUUCCUCAUGCAUUAAUGUAAAAGCAGGAUUUUAAUGUUGGUUGAUCUGAGCUCAUUUUGAACUAUUAAUUAUUGAUUAUUUUCAUGAUGGAUUAAUCUGCUGAUUAUUUUCUCCAUGAAUCAAUCGAUUGUUUGAUUGGAAAAAAUUGUGAAAAUAACAAAAAUGGUGUCAGCCCAAAGUGAGAACUUCACAAUGUUUGUUUUGUUAUUAAAAAUACAUUCAAGAAAA
Sebastes umbrosus (honeycomb rockfish) is the source of this 768-nucleotide long non-coding RNA. RefSeq lists it as uncharacterized. Lineage: Eukaryota; Metazoa; Chordata; Actinopteri; Perciformes; Sebastidae. The transcript is spliced from 2 exons. The record is from RefSeq and is a predicted model, not a curated record.